AUUGAACGCUGGCGGAAUGCUUUACACAUGCAAGUCGAACGGCAGCACGGGGGCAACCCUGGUGGCGAGUGGCGAACGGGUGAGUAAUACAUCGGAACGUGCCCAGUCGUGGGGGAUAACGUAGCGAAAGCUACGCUAAUACCGCAUACGAUCUACGGAUGAAAGCGGGGGAUCGCAAGACCUCGCGCGAUUGGAGCGGCCGAUGGCAGAUUAGGUAGUUGGUGGGGUAAAGGCUCACCAAGCCGACGAUCUGUAGCUGGUCUGAGAGGACGACCAGCCACACUGGGACUGAGACACGGCCCAGACUCCUACGGGAGGCAGCAGUGGGGAAUUUUGGACAAUGGCGCAAGCCUGAUCCAGCCAUUCCGCGUGCAGGAUGAAGGCCUC
RNAcentral lists this ribosomal RNA (387 nucleotides) under uncultured bacterium. RNAcentral describes it as "bacterial SSU rRNA". It matches the Rfam family "Bacterial small subunit ribosomal RNA", at positions 29 to 418 of the family's 1533-position model. The record is from RNAcentral.